Molecule: ribosomal RNA, 397 nt
Filed under: uncultured bacterium
Lineage: Bacteria
Description: bacterial SSU rRNA
Rfam family: Bacterial small subunit ribosomal RNA
Source: RNAcentral
UAUUGCGCAAUGGGGGAAACCCUGACGCAGCAACGCCGCGUGAGUGAAGAAGUAUCUCGGUAUGUAAAGCUCUAUCAGCGGGGAAGAAGGAAGACGGUACCCAACUAAGAUGCUACUGCCAACUACGUGCCAGCAGCCGCGGUAAUACGUAGGGGGCAAGCGUUAUCCGGAUUUACUGGGUGUAAAGGGAGCGUAGACGGCAGCACAAGUCUGGAGUGAAAUGCCGGGGCUUAACCCCGGAACUGCUUUGGAAACUGUGCAGCUAGAGUGCAGGAGAGGUAAGUGGAAUUCCUAGUGUAGCGGUGAAAUGCGUAGAUAUUAGGAGGAACACCAGUGGCGAAGGCGGCUUACUGGACUGUAACUGACGUUGAGGCUCGAAAGCGUGGGGAGCAAACAG